RNAcentral lists this ribosomal RNA (497 nucleotides) under uncultured bacterium. Its description in RNAcentral is "partial 16S ribosomal RNA". It matches the Rfam family "Bacterial small subunit ribosomal RNA", at positions 28 to 507 of the family's 1533-position model. The record is from RNAcentral.
GAUGAACGCUGGCGGCGUGCCUAAUACAUGCAAGUCGAGCGAACAGACGAGGAGCUUGCUCCUCUGACGUUAGCGGCGGACGGGUGAGUAACACGUGGAUAACCUUCCUAUAAGACUGGGAUAACUUCGGGAAACCGGAGCUAAUACCGGAUAAUAUAUUGAACCGCAUGGUUCAAUAGUGAAAGACGGUUUUGCUGUCACUUAUAGAUGGAUCCGCGCCGCAUUAGCUAGUUGGUAAGGUAACGGCUUACCAAGGCGACGAUGCGUAGCCGACCUGAGAGGGUGAUCGGCCACACUGGAACUGAGACACGGUCCAGACUCCUACGGGAGGCAGCAGUAGGGAAUCCUCCGCAAUGGGCGAAAGCCUGACGGAGCAACGCCGCGUGAGUGAUGAAGGUCUUCGGAUCGUAAAACUCUGUUAUUAGGGAAGAACAAAUGUGUAAGUAACUAUGCACGUCUUGACGGUACCUAAUCAGAAAGCCACGGCUAACUACGUG